RNAcentral lists this long non-coding RNA (296 nucleotides) under Elaeis guineensis (African oil palm). Its description in RNAcentral is "long non-coding RNA (EGUI_LNC021148)". The record is from RNAcentral. Lineage: Eukaryota; Viridiplantae; Streptophyta; Magnoliopsida; Arecales; Arecaceae.
GUGACCUCGCCUGCGGCCAGCUCCUCCAUUGCCGCCUCCUCGACUCUGCCCUUCCUCUAGACUCCAUUGUCACCAACUCUCUUAUCACCACCUUCGCAUAAAGAAAAUACAUUUUUAGCCACACGUCAUGCAAUUUUUUUAGCUACCCUCAAAACCACCAUCACCACUACCAUCCUCCAAACCCCAGCAACCAACAAACACCCGACCCUCGAGCCCUUGAAGCACCGCAUCAUCCGCCUCGCCGAUCACGGAUGCCUAACGAUGCCCUCUCCGCCCUCGACCUCAUGGACCGCCAC